RNAcentral lists this ribosomal RNA (374 nucleotides) under uncultured organism. Its description in RNAcentral is "partial 16S ribosomal RNA". It matches the Rfam family "Bacterial small subunit ribosomal RNA", at positions 527 to 896 of the family's 1533-position model. The record is from RNAcentral.
GUAGGUGGCAAGCGUUGUCCGGAAUUAUUGGGCGUAAAGCGCGCGCAGGCGGUUCUUUAAGUCUGAUGUGAAAGCCCACGGCUCAACCGUGGAGGGUCAUUGGAAACUGGAGAACUUGAGUACAGAAGAGGAAAGCGGAAUUCCACGUGUAGCGGUGAAAUGCGUAGAGAUGUGGAGGAACACCAGUGGCGAAGGCGGCUUUCUGGUCUGUAACUGACGCUGAGGCGCGAAAGCGUGGGGAGCAAACAGGGAUUAGAUACCCUGGUAGUCCACGCCAUAAACGAUGAGUGCUAAGUGUUAGGGGGGUUUCCGCCCCCCUUAGUGCUGCAGCUAACGCAUUAAGCACUCCGCCUGGGAGUACGGCCGCAAGGCUG